This 1047-nucleotide long non-coding RNA is filed under the name Marmota monax (woodchuck). The record is from RNAcentral. Lineage: Eukaryota; Metazoa; Chordata; Mammalia; Rodentia; Sciuridae.
UGCAUCUAUGUUCAUUAAAGAUAUUGGUCUGAAGUUUUCUUUCUUUGAUAUGUCUUUGCCUGGUUUGGGGAUCAGGGUGAUAUUGGUCUCAUAGAAUGAAUUUGGAAGUGCUGUCUCUUUUUCUAUUUCCUGAAAAAAAAUUGAAGAGUAUUGGUAUUAGUUUUUCUUUAAAAGUCUUGUAGAACUCGGCUGUAUAUCCAUCCUAUCCUGAGCUUUUCUUGGUUUUCUGAUGGCAUCUUCUAUUUCCUCACUUGAUAUUGGUCUGUUUAAACUGUGUAUAUCUUCCUGACUUAAUCUGGGCAAAUAGUAUGACUUAGGAAAUUUGUUGAUGCCUUCAAUGUCUUGUAUUUUAUUGGAGUAUAAGUUUUCAAAAUAAUUUUUAAUUAUCCUUUUCAUUUCUGUAUUGUCUGUUGUGAUAUUACCAUUUUCAUCAUGUAUGCUGGUAAUUUGAGUUCUCUCUCUCCUUCUCUUUGUUAGUGUAGCUAAGGGUGUGUCAAUUUUAUGUAUUUUUGCAAAGAACCAAUUUUAUGUUUUGUCAAUUUUUCCAAUUGUUUCUUUUGCUUUGAUUUCAUUGAUUUCAACUCUAAUUUUAAUUAUUUCUUGCCUUCUACUGCUUUUGCUGCUGAUUUGUUCUUCUUUUUCUAGGGCUUUUGAGAUGUCGUGUGAGGUCAUUUAUUUGUUGACUUUUUUUUUCUUUUAAGGAAUGAACUCCAUAUAAUGAAUUUUCCUCUUAGUACUGCUUUCAUAGUGUCCCAUAGAUUUUAAAAUUUAUAUCUAUUUUCUCAUUUACCACUAAGUAUUUUUUAAUCUUCUUCUUGAUGUCUUCUGCAACCCAUUGUUCAUUCAGUAGCAUAGUGUUUAGUCUCCAGAUGAUGGAGAAAUUUUUAUUUUUUUAUUUUGUUGAUUUCCAAUUUCAUUUCAUUAUGAUCAGAUAAAAUACAAGGUAGUAUCUCUACUUUUUUGUAUUUGCUAAGAGUUGCUUUGUGGCAUAGUAUAUGGUCGAUUUUAGAGAAGGACACAUGUGCUGUUGAGAAGAAAGUAUAUCCG